GAUGAACGCUGGCGGCGUGCUUAACACAUGCAAGUCGAACGGAAAGGCUCCUGCUUGCAGGGGUACUCGAGUGGCGAACGGGUGAGUAACACGUGGGUGAUCUGCCCUGCACUUCGGGAUAAGCCUGGGAAACUGGGUCUAAUACCGGAUAGGGCGAUGGUUUGGAUGCCAUUGUGGAAAGUUUUUUCGGUGUGGGAUGAGCUCGCGGCCUAUCAGCUUGUUGGUGGGGUAAUGGCCUACCAAGGCGUCGACGGGUAGCCGGCCUGAGAGGGUGUACGGCCACAUUGGGACUGAGAUACGGCCCAGACUCCUACGGGAGGCAGCAGUGGGGAAUAUUGCACAAUGGGCGCAAGCCUGAUGCAGCGACGCCGCGUGGGGGAUGACGGCCUUCGGGUUGUAAACUCCUUUCGCUAGGGACGAAGCGCAAGUGACGGUACCUGGAGAAGAAGCACCGGCUAACUACGUG
This 466-nucleotide ribosomal RNA is filed under the name uncultured bacterium. Its description in RNAcentral is "partial 16S ribosomal RNA". It matches the Rfam family "Bacterial small subunit ribosomal RNA", at positions 28 to 507 of the family's 1533-position model. The record is from RNAcentral.